UGGGGAAUUUUGGACAAUGGGCGAAAGCCUGAUCCAGCAAUGCCGCGUGUGUGAAGAAGGCCUUCGGGUUGUAAAGCACUUUUGUCCGGAAAGAAAUCCUUGGCUCUAAUACAGUCGGGGGAUGACGGUACCGGAAGAAUAAGCACCGGCUAACUACGUGCCAGUAGCCGCGGUAAUACGUAGGGUGCAAGCGUUAAUCGGAAUUACUGGGCGUAAAGCGUGCGCAGGCGGUUUGCUAAGACCGAUGUGAAAUCCCCGGGCUCAACCUGGGAACUGCAUUGGUGACUGGCAGGCUAGAGUAUGGCAGAGGGGGGUAGAAUUCCACGUGUAGCAGUGAAAUGCGUAGAGAUGUGGAGGAAUACCGAUGGCGAAGGCAGCCCCCUGGGCCAAUACUGACGCUCAUGCACGAAAGCGUGGGGAGCAAACAGGAUUAGAUACCCUGGUAGUCCACGCCCUAAACGAUGUCAACUAGUUGUUGGGGAUUCAUUUCCUUAGUAACGUAGCUAACGCGUGAAGUUGACCGCCUGGGGAGUACGGUCGCAAGAUUAAAACUCAAAGGAAUUGACGGGGUCAUAGCUGUUUCCU
This 585-nucleotide ribosomal RNA is filed under the name uncultured bacterium. RNAcentral describes it as "partial 16S ribosomal RNA". It matches the Rfam family "Bacterial small subunit ribosomal RNA", at positions 355 to 1375 of the family's 1533-position model. The record is from RNAcentral.